GAUGAACGCUCGCGGGAGGCCUAACACAUGCAAGCCGAGCGGUAGAGUUUCUUCGGAACCUUGAGAGCGGCGCACGGGUGCGUAACACGUGUGCAACCUACCUUUAUCUGGGGGAUAGCCUUUCGAAAGGAAGAUUAAUACCCCAUAAUAUAAUGAUUGGCAUCAAUUAUUAUUGAAAACUCCGGUGGAUAGAGAUGGGCACGCGCAAGAUUAGAUAGUUGGUGAGGUAACGGCUCACCAAGUCAAUGAUCUUUAGGGGUCCUGGGAGGGAGAUCCCCCAAACGGUUACUGGGACCCGACCCAGACUCCAACGGGAGGCAGCGGUGAGGAAUAUUGGAGAGGGGGGGGGAGCUUGACCCACCCACCCGGGGUGAAGGAUGACGGGCUUAUGGAUUUCAACCUUCUUUGGAAAAGGGAAAAACCUCCCUCCGGGGGGUUACUGAAGGGACCGGAAGAAUAAGCACCGGCUAACUCCGUG
Molecule: ribosomal RNA, 478 nt
Filed under: uncultured bacterium
Lineage: Bacteria
Description: partial 16S ribosomal RNA
Rfam family: Bacterial small subunit ribosomal RNA
Source: RNAcentral